AACGAACGCUGGCGGCAUGCCUAACACAUGCAAGUCGAACGAGACCUUCGGGUCUAGUGGCGCACGGGUGAGUAACGCGUGGGAACCUGCCAUUAGGUUCGGAAUAACUCCCCGAAAGGGGUGCUAAUACCGGAUAAUGUCUUCGGACCAAAGAUUUAUCGCCUUUGGAUGGGCCCGCGUUUGAUUAGCUAGUUGGUAGGGUAAAAGCCUACCAAGGCGACGAUCCAUAGCUGGUCUGAGAGGAUGAUCAGCCACACUGGGACUGAGACACGGCCCAGACCCCUACGGGAGGCCGCAGUGGGGAAUUUGGGACAAUGGGCGAAAGCCUGAGCCAGCAAGGCCGCGGAGGUUAUGAAGGGCUGAGGGUGGUAAACCUCUUUUACCCGGGAUGAUAAUGACUGUACCGGGGAAAAAAGCCCCGGCAACCCCCGG
Molecule: ribosomal RNA, 432 nt
Filed under: uncultured bacterium
Lineage: Bacteria
Description: partial 16S ribosomal RNA
Rfam family: Bacterial small subunit ribosomal RNA
Source: RNAcentral